RNAcentral lists this ribosomal RNA (449 nucleotides) under uncultured bacterium. Its description in RNAcentral is "partial 16S ribosomal RNA". It matches the Rfam family "Bacterial small subunit ribosomal RNA", at positions 29 to 523 of the family's 1533-position model. The record is from RNAcentral.
AACGAACGCUGGCGGCAUGCCUAACACAUGCAAGUCGAACGAAGCCUUCGGGCUUAGUGGCGCACGGGUGCGUAACGCGUGGGAAUCUGCCCUUUGGUUCGGAAUAACUCAGGGAAACUUGAGCUAAUACCGGAUGAUGACGAAAGUCCAAAGAUUUAUCGCCAAAGGAUGAGCCCGCGUAAGAUUAGGUAGUUGGUGGGGUAAAGGCCUACCAAGCCGACGAUCUUUAGCUGGUCUGAGAGGAUGAUCAGCCACACUGGGACUGAGACACGGCCCAGACUCCUACGGGAGGCAGCAGUGGGGAAUAUUGGACAAUGGGCGCAAGCCUGAUCCAGCAAUGCCGCGUGAGUGAUGAAGGCCCUCGGGUCGUAAAGCUCUUUUACCCGGGAAGAUAAUGACUGUACCGGGAGAAUAAGCCCCGGCUAACUCCGUGCCAGCAGCCGCAGUAA